RNAcentral lists this ribosomal RNA (2454 nucleotides) under Triticum aestivum (bread wheat). Its description in RNAcentral is "partial small subunit ribosomal RNA". Lineage: Eukaryota; Viridiplantae; Streptophyta; Magnoliopsida; Poales; Poaceae. The record is from RNAcentral.
AUGACGUCUGUCCCGAAACCACUCAAAUUCCUCCGUGCACACUACGGAACUCUCAAGGCUUGCUUUCAGAGAAUGCGGGAUCCUGCACAGAAGAAACAUAUGGCUGACAUUCUGUCAGUAUUGGCCUUGACAGCGUCUGCUGAAGGAGAAAGGGAAAGCCUGAAGUACUGUAUGAUGGGCUCUUUAGUUGAUAUAUGUUCAUGGGGUCAUGAAUACGUGAGAAACUUGGCUUUUGAAAUUGGAGAAGAAUGGAAGUUCAAUGACUCAUCAACGCCAAUUGAAUCCAAAAUAAAACUAGUGCUGGAAAUUGUCAAAUUUCACAUGAAGCAUAAUGCUGAAACUGAAGCUCUGGAUUUUUUGAUGAAGGUUGGAUACCUUGAGUUGCUUUCAGAUGAAAAAAAAGAAGAAUACAUUAUGAGGCUACUUCAUCUUGUUGACUCUACCAACUACAAAAGGGCAUGCUUGUAUUUGACUAGUUGUUCAAAAUACUUAUCUACACCCGACCAUAAGGCCACACUUGACAUUGCCUAUGACAUGUAUAUGAAGUUUAGGGAUCUUGGAAGUGCUUUAAGGAUUGUGCUUUUGGUCAACGACCACAAGUACUGUGGUCAGAAUGUGAAGAUGAAGAAGGUAUUUGCAGAAACUAAAGAUUUCUCACUGAAGCAGCAAUUUGCAUUUAUGAUAGCACGCUAUGGUUUAAGCAUGGAGAUUGAUGAUGAGAUGGUUGCAGAUGAAAAUGAGAAGAAUGCUUUGCAGGAAGUGGUUUAUAACACCAAACUGAGUAAGGGGUACCAUAUCCUUGCGCGGGAUAUUGGUGUCAUGGAGCCAAAAUCUCCAGAGGACAUAUAUAAGGUUCAUCUGAUUGGCAGCCGAGGUACCAAAAGCUCCAGCCUUGAUUCUGCAAGGCCGAAUUUGGCUGCAAUUUUUGUCAAUGCAUUUGUGAAUGCUGGUUAUUGCCAGGACAAACUCAUGACUGCAAUACCAGAUUCUUUGCUAUUCAAGAACAACGAACUUUGGAGAGCCAGUGUAGUAGCUAGUCUGGGAAUGAUACAUAUGUGGGAUCCUGAUUCAGGAUUUCCCAAACUUGACAAGUACCUGCACAGCAAUGAUACUAAUGUCGUUGCAGGAACUUUUUUAGGUAUAGGCAUUGUCUCUUCUGGUGUGAAGAAUUAUCGGGAUCAUGCACUUGCUCUUAUUUCUGAGUAUAGCAAGGGUGCAGCAUCAGUUACACGGAUCGGGGGAUUCUUGGGUCUUGGUAUUGCUUAUGCUGGGUCCCGGAAAGACGAGCUUAAAUCACAUUUCUCAAGUACCUUGAGUAACCCCCAAACACCUUUGGAGGACUUAGUGUUCUCUGCCAUCUCCUUGGGAUUGGUGUUUGUUGGUUCCUGCAAUGAAGAGAUUGCAGAGUCAAUCAUAUCUGUCUUGAAAAAUCACAGUAAAGAGCUUACAGAGCCCAUUAUUCAUCUACUUCCAGUUGCCCUUGGCCUUCUAUAUCUUGGAAAACAGGAGAUGGUAGUUGCUACUGCUGCUAAGGUUUCUGAAACAUUGGAAGAACCAUUAAAGAAGUACUGUGGCCUGACUCUUACGUCUUUGGCAUAUGCUGGGACAGGGAAUGUGCUUAAGGUUCAGGAGCUCCUUUGUAGUUGCUCAGAUAAACUUGUGAAAGGUGGAAGUGACCAAGGGCCAGCAGUCCUUGGAAUUGCUCUUAUUGCCAUGGCUGAAGGAUUAGGAGCUGAAAUGGCUGUACGGUCCCUCGAGCAGCUUUUACAGUAUGGUGAUUGUAGUAUUAGAAGAGCAGUUCCUCUUGCUCUUGGCAUGCUCUGCAUAUCCAAUCCAAAGGCGGUUGUUGUGGACACACUGAAUAGACUGAGCCAUGAUGCGGACGGUGCAGUGUCGAUGGCUGCAAUCAUCUCACUGGGCUUGAUAGGUGCUGGUACAAACAAUGCACGUAUAGCCGGAUUGCUUCGUAAGCUCUCAAGUCAGCAAUAUGGCGGUUAUCUGUAUUGUGUGAGGAUUGCACAGGGUCUUGUUCACCUUGGGAAGGGCUUGCUGACACUUGACCCAUGCCACUCUGACAGGCUACUUCUAUCUCCCGUAGCACUAGCUGGGCUUGCAACCGUUCUGUACGCAUGCCUUGACAUGCAACCCAUCAUCGUCGAAAAGUAUCCCUACAUGCUAUACAUCCUCGCCCUCGCUAUGCAGCCUAGGAUGUUACUGACUGUGGAUGAGGAUCUCAAGCCCCUACAUGUGCCUGUUCGUGUCGGCCAAGCAGUCGACGUGGUCGGUCAGGCGGGAAGUCCCAGGACCAUCACUGGCUUCCAGACGUACAACACGCCUGUAGUGCUUGCUGCAGGGGAGCAAGCUGAGCUAGCAACUGAAAAAUAUAUUCCGCUGACACCAGUUCUGGAGGGCUUUGUGAUCCUGAGGAAGAACCCAGAGCAUCAUGAAGAUUGA